CAGGAAUCUUGGCCUUUUCUUGGACCCAUAGCCUCGGCCUUCGACCAAUCAUAUCGCCGAAUUCGCAAGCGGUGAGAGACAAAUACGGCGUGCCAAAGACAUAUUGGGUGUCUCAAAAUCACUGAGAACUCUGUAGCUCAAAACUUAAGCCCUGCACUCUUUUAGAUCUACCCCGUUGAGUGGCAUUCUUGUGAAAAUUAUGUAAAGAUAUUUAUCAGAAUAAGGUAGAAGUGUAGGGGGUGGCAGGUGAGGUGCAGAAGAAGAAGAAGAAGUUGUACCUAUCCAGUAAUUUUAUCUUGAUUUGUGGACUAGACGAAGACUAGAUUUUGAUGAAGAAAUCGACAAACUUGAACUGCAGGACUCGUGGCGCUGCUCGCCUCCUCGCCAAUGCGAAUG
Molecule: long non-coding RNA, 396 nt
Organism: Amphibalanus amphitrite
Lineage: Eukaryota; Metazoa; Arthropoda; Thecostraca; Balanomorpha; Balanidae
Exons: 2
Source: RefSeq, a predicted model, not a curated record